UCUCAGGGCGGGGUGAAAGUCCCCACCGGCGGUAAUCCGGCAGGGUCCGGAAAGCCCGCGAGCGUUUUUCCAUGGGGGAAAAUGCCGAUCCGGUGUAAAUCCGGAGCCGACGGUAACAGUCCGGAUGGAAGAGAU
This 135-nucleotide non-coding RNA is filed under the name uncultured Mailhella sp. RNAcentral's name for it is "FMN riboswitch (RFN element)". It matches the Rfam family "FMN riboswitch aptamer (RFN element)". From Rfam's summary of the family: The RFN element is a highly conserved domain that is found frequently in the 5'-untranslated regions of prokaryotic mRNAs that encode for flavin mononucleotide (FMN) biosynthesis and transport proteins. This element is a metabolite-dependent riboswitch that directly binds FMN in the absence of proteins. Lineage: Bacteria; Pseudomonadati; Thermodesulfobacteriota; Desulfovibrionia; Desulfovibrionales; Desulfovibrionaceae. The record is from RNAcentral.